UGGGAUAGGGAUGUUCGGUAUUCCUGGGAUCUGUGGGAUAGGGAUGUUCGGUAUUCCUGGGAUCUGUGGGAUAGGGAUGUUCGGUAUCCCUGGGAUCUGUGGGAUAGGGAUGUUCGGUAUCCCUGGGAUCUGUGGGAUAGGGAUGUUCGGUAUCCCUGGGAUCUGUGGGAUAGGGAUGUUCGGUAUCCCUGGGAUCUGUGGGAUAGGGAUGUUCGGUAUCGCUGGAAUCUGUGGGAUAGGGAUUUGAGGGAUGUUUGGUAUCCCGGGAAUGUUGGGGAUAGUGGGGAACGAGCCAGGGGGUGAAGGAGGAGAGUUUGGAUCGGAUGACUCGGAGCAAGCCCAAGAAACCUUAGAGUCACCGAACUUUCCAUUG
RNAcentral lists this long non-coding RNA (373 nucleotides) under Brassica napus (rape). RNAcentral's name for it is "long non-coding RNA (BNAP_LNC021779)". Lineage: Eukaryota; Viridiplantae; Streptophyta; Magnoliopsida; Brassicales; Brassicaceae. The record is from RNAcentral.